Molecule: non-coding RNA, 86 nt
Organism: Podarcis lilfordi (Lilford's wall lizard)
Lineage: Eukaryota; Metazoa; Chordata; Lepidosauria; Squamata; Lacertidae
Source: the annotation of a GenBank genome assembly
AGCUGUUUUUGGACUACAAUUCCCAUCACCCCUGACCAGUGGUCCUGCUAGCUAGGGAGGGUGGGAGCUGUAGUCCAAAAACAGCU